Molecule: ribosomal RNA, 406 nt
Filed under: uncultured bacterium
Lineage: Bacteria
Description: bacterial SSU rRNA
Rfam family: Bacterial small subunit ribosomal RNA
Source: RNAcentral
GGCGGACGGGUGAGUAACCGCGUGGGCAACCUGCCCAGUGGUGGGGCGAUAACUGCGGGAACACUGCAGCUAAUACCGCAUGAGCCCGACGACGGGGAAAUGAUUUAUCGCCAUUGGACGGGGCCCGCGCUUCGAUUAGGUAGUUGGUGAGUGUAAUGGCUCACCAAGCCGACGAUCGAUAGCUGGUCUGAGAGAGAUGAUCAGCCACACUGGGACUGAGAUACGGCCCAGACGUCCUACGGGACGGCAGCAGUGGGGAAUAUUGGCACAAUGGGGGCAACCCUGAUCCAGCAAUGCCGCGUGAGUGAUGAAGUGCCUUCGGGUUGUAAAGCUCUUUUGCCAGGGACGAUGAUAGACGGUACCUGGAGAAUAAGCCCCUGGCUAACUUCGUGCCAGCCAGCCGCGG